GAAUGCUGACAUAAGUAACGAUAAAGCGGGUGAAAAGCCCGCUCGCCGGAAGACCAAGGGUUCCUGUCCAACGUUAAUCGGGGCAGGGUGAGUCGACCCCUAAGGCGAGGCCGAAAGGCGUAGUCGAUGGGAAACGGGUUAAUAUUCCCGUACUUGGUGUUACUGCGAAGGGGGGACGGAGAAGGCUAUGUUGGCCGGGCGACGGUUGUCCCGGUUUAAGCGUGUAGGUGUGUGUUCCAGGUAAAUCCGGUUCACUUUAACACUGAGGCGUGAUGACGAGGCACCACGGUGCUGAAGCAACAAAUGCCCUGCUUCCAGGAAAAGCCUCUAAGCCUCAGGUAACAUCAAAUCGUACCCCAAACCGACACAGGUGGUCAGGUAGAGAAUACCAAGGCGCUUGAGAGAACUCGGGUGAAGGAACUAGGCAAAAUGGUGCCGUAACUUCGGGAGAAGGCACGCUGACACGUAGGUGAAGUGGUUUACCCAUGGAGCUGAAGUCAGUCGAAGAUACCAGCUGGCUGCAACUGUUUAUUAAAAACACAGCACUGUGCAAACACGAAAGUGGACGUAUACGGUGUGACGCCUGCCCGGUGCCGGAAGGUUAAUUGAUGGGGUCAGCGCAAGCGAAGCUCCUGAUCGAAGCCCCGGUAAACGGCGGCCGUAACUAUAACGGUCCUAAGGUAGCGAAAUUCCUUGUCGGGUAAGUUCCGACCUGCACGAAUGGCGUAAUGAUGGCCAGGCUGUCUCCACCCGGGACUCAGUGAAAUUGAACUCGCUGUGAAGAUGCAGUGUACCCGCGGCAAGACGGAAAGACCCCGUGAACCUUUACUAUAGCUUGACACUGAACACUGGUCCUUGAUGUGCAGGAUAGGUGGGAGGCUUUGAAGUGUGGACGCCAGUCUGCAUGGAGCCAUCCUUGAAAUACCACCCUUUAAUGGCUGGUGUUCUAACGUGGGCCCGUGAACCGGGUUGCGGACAGUGUCUGGUGGGUAGUUUGACUGGGGCGGUCUCCUCCUAAAGAGUAACGGAGGAGCACGAAGGUUGGCUAAUCCUGGUCGGACAUCAGGAGGUUAGUGCAAUGGCAUAAGCCAGCUUGACUGCGAGCGUGACGGCGCGAGCAGGUGCGAAAGCAGGUCAUAGUGAUCCGGUGGUUCUGAAUGGAAGGGCCAUCGCUCAACGGAUAAAAGGUACUCCGGGGAUAACAGGCUGAUACCGCCCAAGAGUUCAUAUCGACGGCGGUGUUUGGCACCUCGAUGUCGGCUCAUCACAUCCUGGGGCUGAAGUAGGUCCCAAGGGUAUGGCUGUUCGCCAUUUAAAGUGGUACGCGAGCUGGGUUUAGAACGUCGUGAGACAGUUCGGUCCCUAUCUGCCGUGGGCGCUGGAAGAUUGAGGGGGGCUGCUCCUAGUACGAGAGGACCGGAGUGGACGCAUCACUGGUGUUCGGGUUGUCAUGCCAAUGGCACUGCCCGGUAGCUACAUGCGGAAGAGAUAAGUGCUGAAAGCAUCUAAGCACGAAACUUGCCCCGAGAUGAAUCUUCCCUGAGCCUUUAAGGCUCCUGAAGGAACGUUGAAGACGACGACGUUGAUAGGCCGGGUGUGUAAGCGCAGCGAUGCGUUGAGCUAACCGGUACUAAUGAACCGUGAGGCUUAACCUUACAACGC
Molecule: ribosomal RNA, 1662 nt
Filed under: Salmonella enterica
Lineage: Bacteria; Pseudomonadati; Pseudomonadota; Gammaproteobacteria; Enterobacterales; Enterobacteriaceae
Description: partial 23S ribosomal RNA
Rfam family: Bacterial large subunit ribosomal RNA
Source: RNAcentral